Molecule: ribosomal RNA, 468 nt
Filed under: uncultured bacterium
Lineage: Bacteria
Description: partial 16S ribosomal RNA
Rfam family: Bacterial small subunit ribosomal RNA
Source: RNAcentral
GACGAACGCUGGCGGCGUGCUUAACACAUGCAAGUCGAACGGAAAGGCCCUGCUUUUGUGGGGUGCUCGAGUGGCGAACGGGUGAGUAACACGUGAGUAACCUGCCCUUGACUUUGGGAUAACUUCAGGAAACUGGGGCUAAUACCGGAUAGGAGCUCCUGCUGCAUGGUGGGGGUUGGAAAGUUUCGGCGGUUGGGGAUGGACUCGCGGCUUAUCAGCUUGCUGGUGGGGUAGUGGCUUACCAAGGCUUUGACGGGUAGCCGGCCUGAGAGGGUGACCGGCGACAUUGGGACUGAGGGACGGCCCAGACUCCUACGGGAGGCAGCAGUGGGGAAUAGUGCACAAUGGGCGGAAGCCUGAUGCAGCAACGCCGCGUGCGGGAUAACGGCCUUCGGGGUGUAAACCGCUUUCGCCUGUAACGAAGCGUGAGUGACGGUAAUGGGUAAAGAAGCACCGGCUAACUACGUG